UUUUUUUUUUUUUUUUUUUUUUUGCUUUUUAGGGACGUUCCUAGGCUAGGGGUCCAAUUGGAGCUGCAGCCGCCAGCCUACACCACAGCCACAGCAAUGCAGGAUCCAAGCCACAUCUGCAACCUAUACCACAGCUCACAGCAGUGCCAGAUCCUUAAUCCACUGAGCGAGGCCAGGGAUCGAAGCUGAAUCCUCACGGAUACCAGUCGGGUUCCAUACCACUGAGCCGCAACAGGAACGCCAACCCUGCUCUGCUUUGACAGACCCCACCCAGCGCAGCAACUACAACUGGCCUUAUGUUCUUUGCUUUUUUUCAAGGAUACGUGAUUUAAUCACUACUGUGUGUUUUGGGUACGUUUUCUCACUCUUGAGUGAUCAAAACACUUGUCAUCUUCCACAUUUACAUCGAGAAACCCCAGCAGGGGUGUGAAGAUGUAGAGAAAAGGGCGUUCUCCUUGAGGAAAGGGAUAAAAUGGGGCUGUUGUAUUUCUCCACCUCUGUGUUUUCAGAGCCCUUGAGAGAGCCGCAUGCUUGUUAUUUAAAAGGUUAUGAUAUUCAGAGAGAAAAAAAUAUCGUCAGGGUACAGUAGCUGCACUGGUUUUUGCUCCAAAGGCAGGAAAUAGCUUGGCCAACCUGAAAAUAAAAUAUGCUUCUCCUAAGCAGCUAAGCUUGUUAGACUCCCAGGCUGGUGGCAGAAACAGCGUUGCAUACAUAAUGUGGACAUGCCAAUUCCUGUUCUUCUUCCAGAGAUUAAAAAAAAAAAAAAAAAAAAAAUUUCUCCUACUUUUCAAUUCCACAAAAAGUUUCCAAAUUACAAAAAAAAGAUUUUGCUCCUAUGUUUCAGCCAUCUUUGUUCCCCAGAUUUAUUGUUGUUUUCUGUUUUUCAUUUUUCCCAGCAGACAUUACCCAAUACACCCUUAGGGAAAGGCAAGCUCUCAGUCCAUCCACUGUGCUGAUGCCUCGGGAACCCGCUUUUUCCAGAGAAGAGUCUAAAUGGGUCACUUCCCUCUGCUGGCCUCACUGCAAAUGCUACCCACGCUUUUGCCCCCUAGUCUAUUUUCAGAAUCGAAUGACCAGCUCAAUUCUGUGAGGCCUUGACUACAUCCCGUUAAGGUCACGGUUGGUACUUAAAAGUCGUGGUCUUUUUUUCCCCCCCAAAGGCUAGUUUUUAUCCUCCUCCUCCCUCGCCCUUCCUCCCUUUCCCUUUUCCCUCUGCUUCUUCAAUAGAGCUGUGUUAGGAAGGGUCUGGCCACACACAGAGAAUAUUACAGGAAUAAAACCUAGGAAAGAGCACACGGUUAUGAAAUAUUAAACUUAAACUUCUCUUUAUUUGGCUCCCUCAAUUCUCCUCCCCCUCCAAGAAAACACCAACCCCAACAGAUUUGUGGUUCGUGUUAUCUUCAGCUGUAAAAGCCAGCUGAACCAACAGAGCAGGCUUCUCUGUUUCCUGCUGCCUAGCGUUUUCAAAAGGAGCUACUGUAAAGGAACAGUUGGCUCUUGGGCCUUACGGACAACGUUAUUAGAGGGAAGAGAUUAAACUCGAAUCCGGCAGAUAAAGAGCGCUGUACGUUGUAGCGUUUCAUACAAAUGAAAGCUGCAACCAUCAGGAGUUAGUCCACGCCAGUUAAAGAGAUGAUGGGCCAAGGACGGGAAAGUGAGACUGUGUGUGCCAAACAUGCCAUUCCGCUUUUUCAGUAGAGAGUUGUCUUUUUCUUUUUUUUUUUUUUUUUAAGAUGAAGAAGAAAGAACGUUCAAGGAUCUGUCCAUUUUUUCAGUCAGCUCCAACCUAGGAACUUCAGUGGGAAUUUGGCCUGGGGAAAGAUUGCCACAUCAGACAUUGAUUCAGCCUCAGCCAACCCAUUUCAAGGUGUCACCCAUUAAUUUAUUGACUGCAAAGAAGAAUUUUGCCCAAGGCCAGAACGCACGAUUGGUCCCAGUUGACCUGAAAUAGAUUUCCACAAGUGGCUGGGGAAAGGAGUUUCUCUUUAGGAUGUCUCUCCUUGGUCCAUUCUUUCUUUCUUUAUUCCCUCUCCGGCUCCAUCACAUGGAUAACAGAGCAUUCAAAGAGCUUCAUUAGUCCAUGACGGGCAAACAGCUGCUCAAAGGAUUUGUGACUGGAUUGAUCCUGAGGCCGACGGGACAGUUGGCACAGGGCAGAAAUGCUUUCCGAUUUUGACAUCAUUCCCCUUUUUUUCUUUCUCAUCUCAUGUAUUCAUUAAAGGUUCAUUUGGUAAAAGAAGAGACGAUAUUCUUACAGAGUGGCUCUUUGCAUUAUGAUGAAAGUCUUGGUUUAUACAUGUUUUCCUGUAAGUACAAGAUGGCUGCUAUUUUUUAUUCCUGAAAUGAAUAUUUAACAGGCAAGCUACAAAAGUCAGAAAGAAUAUUAAAGUGAUAUUCUGGCGGUGGCGGGGGGUGAUGCUAUGCAGAGCAUUCUUAAUCAAUAGUUAGUCAUCAAGACGGGAAAACUAAUAGUCGUUUUAUGUAGCUGGGAAACAGACAAAUGUUGUGCCAAGAUUAAAAAGUAACUUCCCUUUCUUCCAAUGUUGAGGCAAUUUUUAAGACCCUCUGUGGCACAAAGCUGAAUUCAAGCUGCCUUUGUAAGACCUGGAGGCCCAGAGGCUAGAAACCAAUUUCUACCUUAGAGAAGUGAACAACCACAGAGGUGCAGAAGGAAGCUUGUAUAAGGAUGGUCUUUGCAGCAUUUGUUUACAGUAGCUAGAAACAAACAACCCUAAAGCCACACAAUUACAAGUCAUGGGGGAAUGGCUAAAUAAACUAGGGCUUAUCUGUGCCACAGAACACUACAAAACAGUUCAAAAGAAUGAGGUGGAAUUCAUGUACUAAUGAGGACCUAGCUCUAAGACGCAGCAAAAACAAACACAUACUGAACCCUUGUAUAUUGUUGAUCAGAAUGUAAAUUGGUCCAACCACUAUGGAAGACAAUAGGGAGGUUAGAUAAAAAAAUACAUCCACCUACGAUCCAGCGAUUCCACUUCUGAAGGUACCCCUCAAAAAAUGAAAUCAAGUGGGGUUCCCAUCGUGGCGCAGUGGUUACGGAAUCCGACUAGGAACCACGAGGUUGUUGGUUCGAUCCCUGGCCUUGCUCAGUGGGUUAACGAUCCAGCAUUGCCGUAAGCUGUGGUGUAGGUCACAGACACGGCUCAGAUCCCGCGUUGCUGUGGCUCUGGCGUAGGUUGGUGGCUACAGCUCCUCGAUUAGACCCCUAGCCUGGGAACCUCCAUAUGCCGCAGGUGCGGCCCUAGAAAAGG
Molecule: long non-coding RNA, 3269 nt
Filed under: Sus scrofa (pig)
Lineage: Eukaryota; Metazoa; Chordata; Mammalia; Artiodactyla; Suidae
Description: lncRNA (ENSSSCG00000063445.1)
Source: RNAcentral